UGCCAGCAGCCGCGGUAACACGGGGGGCGCAAGCGUUAUUCGGAAUUAUUGGGCGUAAAGCGCGUGUAGGCGGUUCGUUAAGUCUGAUGUGAAAGCCCGGGGCUCAACCCCGGAAGUGCAUUGGAAACUGGCGAACUUGAGUACGGGAGAGGAAAGUGGAAUUCCGAGUGUAGGGGUGAAAUCCGUAGAUAUUCGGGAGGAAUACCGGUGGCGAAGGCGACCACCUGGCCAGAUACUGACGCUGAGGUGCGAAAGCGUGGGGAGCAAACAGGAUUAGAUA
Molecule: ribosomal RNA, 280 nt
Filed under: uncultured bacterium
Lineage: Bacteria
Description: partial 16S ribosomal RNA
Rfam family: Bacterial small subunit ribosomal RNA
Source: RNAcentral